This 465-nucleotide ribosomal RNA is filed under the name uncultured bacterium. RNAcentral describes it as "partial 16S ribosomal RNA". It matches the Rfam family "Bacterial small subunit ribosomal RNA", at positions 28 to 507 of the family's 1533-position model. The record is from RNAcentral.
GACGAACGCUGGCGGCGUGCUUAACACAUGCAAGUCGAACGGAAAGGCCCCCUUUUGGGGUUAUCGAGUGGCGAACGGGUGAGUAACACGUGAGUAACCUACCCUUGACUUUGGGAUAACUUCAGGAAACUGGGGCUAAUACCGGAUAGGAGCUCCUGCUGCAUGGUGGGGGUUGGAAAGUUUCGGCGGUUGGGGAUGGACUCGCGGCUUAGCAGCUUGUUGGUGGGGUAGUGGCUCACCAAGGCUUUGACGGGUAGCCGGCCUGGGAGGGUGACCGGCCACAUUGGGACUGGGAUACGGCCAGGACUCCUACGGGAGGCAGCAGUGGGGAAUAUUGCACAAUGGGCGGAAGCCUGAUGCAGCAACGCCGCGUGCGGGAUGACGGCCUUCGGGUGUUAACCCGCUUUCGCCUGUGACGAAGCGUGAGCGACGGUAAUGGGUAAAGAAGCACCGGCUAACUACGUG